Molecule: long non-coding RNA, 1468 nt
Organism: Megachile rotundata (alfalfa leafcutting bee)
Lineage: Eukaryota; Metazoa; Arthropoda; Insecta; Hymenoptera; Megachilidae
Source: RefSeq, a predicted model, not a curated record
UUUGCGAACAUUUGAUACUAUCAUUUUAUAGCGACAAUUAGAGUGAUGUUCGAGCUAUAGUUUGUUAUAUAACAAGACGUAGGUGGCAGGUCUUUAUCAUGUAACAUCCUCACGCAGACAGAAGUAAUGUGUAAUGACGGUGUCACUUGCGACUGUUCGCGCUAAAAAUAAUCUCGUAUCUCGAGAGUCAGUUCUUCGAGUUAUUAUUUUUCUUUCCCGUAUCGAUCAUUGAUACGCCAUGAUUCAUCGUCGAAUUAUUCGGACUUCUUUCAUGGAACUUGAUAUGCACUCAUUCUCUUCAAUGUUGCUUUGUGUUUCAACACGGAUUUUAGAAACCACGGAACUGCGAACAUAUUCUCCUUAGCUUAAUUGUUUGGCUUAAUACUUUACAGUAUCCAAGAAAAACGAUGAAAUCAUGUGAAUUGUACUUGAGACAGAUAAAUUAACUCGUUUGCAGAUCUCUACGAAGCAGGACGUAUAUUACGUUUAUUUCGUUUUACCGCCUUUUUCUAACGUUCGUGUAUUGCGCAGGAUGUGUGCGCAGGAAUAUUGAUUAUCGACCCACGUGAUCGAUGGAACAUAACCUCGAAAAUAGGAUCGCCAUGCGGUCGAAGCAUAAACACUUGAUCUGCAAUUGCAGCAUUUCAUUUGUGUUUCCCGAUUGUUAAACGUAUGCAUUCGAUUUGUAUUCAUCGAACGGUGCUGUCAAUAUUAUGCAUGGACAAUUUAAAUUGUAAUUUGUGUCCUAAGUGAUUGUAAAACUAGAACACUGUAUAAAGAGGCUUACCCUUUAAAGAAAUAAAUGAAGUUGCCAAAAAAUAUAAGUUGUCAAUAGUUAUUAUUUAUUACGCGAAGAACAUUACAUGUAAAAACCGCAUAAAAUUCAGUGCGUGAAGCUUAAUGGAUUAACUUCCCGAUUAUCGCAUCGCAUUUAUUAAAAACAGUUGGUAACAGCGAAAGGGUUAACCGUGCUGCAUUAUUAGACAAAACGCUGAUGCGUGCAACGAGCAAUUAACCCAUCGCGUUCUGGGCCAACAAAAGGUCAACGUAGCGAAUCCGCCAAGGUUCGAACGGCUUCGACAUCACAGAAACAUCGCGAAAGGCAAAAUAAUAAUGGGAGCAGCUUGUCGAAAGGCGCAUGCAUAAUUAAGGAAUCGCGCGAUCGCCAUUGUUGCUGCUUAGAGUUGCCACUUUCACUCCGGGAUUUCUCUGCCAUUCGAGAAGUUCAAGAAUAAUGAAUUCACUCGUAAUACGGAAAACAUCACAAAAAUUAACAGUAUAAAAUUUUCUAAAUAUAAUCUGUUUUUUGAGAGCUGAAACGGGGUCGUCUCUGGGGAGGUCUUAGGUCACUAAGUUGCUAGGGGCUAUCUUUUACAAAAUGGAGGUAUCUUAAGGUGUAGAAGUGGCUUUUGAAUUUAGAAGUAUUUGCAUUUAAAUACUUAAACGUAUAUAUAAUAUAUACAUUUAA